Molecule: ribosomal RNA, 503 nt
Filed under: uncultured Glomeraceae
Lineage: Eukaryota; Fungi; Glomeromycota; Glomeromycetes; Glomerales; Glomeraceae
Description: SSU rRNA
Rfam family: Eukaryotic small subunit ribosomal RNA
Source: RNAcentral
AGCAGCCGCGGUAAUUCCAGCUCCAAUAGCGUAUAUUAAAGUUGUUGCAGUUAAAAAGCUCGUAGUUGAACUUCGGGAUCAAUGGAUCGGUCAUGCCAUCGGUAUGUACUGGUCUCAUUGGUUCUCACCUUCUAAGGAACCAUAAUGUCAUUCAUUUGAUGUUUUGGGGAAUUAGGACUGUUACCUUGAAAAAUUAGAGUGUUUAAAGCAGGCUAACGCUUGAAUACAUUAGCAUGGAAUAAUGAAAUAGGACAUCGCAUUCUAUUUUGUUGGUUUCUAGGAUCGAUGUAAUGAUUAAUAGGGAUAGUUGGGGGCAUUAGUAUUCAAUUGUCAGAGGUGAAAUUCUUGGAUUUAUUGAAGACUAACUACUGCGAAAGCAUUUGCCAAGGAUGUUUUCAUUAAUCAAGAACGAAAGUUAGGGGAUCGAAGACGAUCAGAUACCGUCGUAGUCUUAACCAUAAACUAUGCCGACUAGGGAUCGGAUGAUGUUGAUUUUUAAUGUA